RNAcentral lists this ribosomal RNA (200 nucleotides) under uncultured Staphylococcus sp. Its description in RNAcentral is "partial 16S ribosomal RNA". It matches the Rfam family "Bacterial small subunit ribosomal RNA", at positions 140 to 334 of the family's 1533-position model. Lineage: Bacteria; Bacillati; Bacillota; Bacilli; Caryophanales; Staphylococcaceae. The record is from RNAcentral.
GGGAUAACUUCGGGAAACCGGAGCUAAUACCGGAUAAUAUUUUGAACCGCAUGGUUCAAAAGUGAAAGACGGUCUUGCUGUCACUUAUAGAUGGAUCCGCGCUGCGUUAGCUAGUUGGUAAGGUAACGGCUUACCAAGGCAACGAUGCAUAGCCGACCUGAGAGGGUGAUCGGCCACACUGGAACUGAGACACGGUCCAG